GAUCCUGGCUCAGGAUGAACGCUAGCUACAGGCUUAACACAUGCAAGUCGAGGGGAAACGACAUCGAAAGCUUGCUUUUGAUGGGCGUCGACCGGCGCACGGGUGAGUAACGCGUAUCCAACCUGCCCAUCACUUGGGGAUAACCUUGCGAAAGUAAGACUAAUACCCGAUGAUAUCCCUAGAAGACAUCUGAAAGGGAUUAAAGAUUUAUCGGUGAUGGAUGGGGAUGCGUCUGAUUAGCUUGUUGGCGGGGUAACGGCCCACCAAGGCAACGAUCAGUAGGGGUUCUGAGAGGAAGGUCCCCCACAUUGGAACUGAGACACGGUCCAAACUCCUACGGGAGGCAGCAGUGAGGAAUAUUGGUCAAUGGGCGAGAGCCUGAACCAGCCAAGUAGCGUGCAGGAUGACGGCCCUAUGGGUUGUAAACUGCUUUUAUAAGGGAAUAAAGUGAGUCUCGUGAGACUUUUUGCAUGUACCUUAUGAAUAAGGACCGGCUAAUUCCGUG
This 505-nucleotide ribosomal RNA is filed under the name uncultured bacterium. Its description in RNAcentral is "bacterial SSU rRNA". It matches the Rfam family "Bacterial small subunit ribosomal RNA", at positions 15 to 507 of the family's 1533-position model. The record is from RNAcentral.